RNAcentral lists this ribosomal RNA (1433 nucleotides) under uncultured organism. RNAcentral describes it as "16S ribosomal RNA". It matches the Rfam family "Bacterial small subunit ribosomal RNA". The record is from RNAcentral.
CAGGCUUAACACAUGCAAGUCGAGGGGCAGCAUCAUCAAAGCUUGCUUUGAUGGAUGGCGACCGGCGCACGGGUGAGUAACACGUAUCCAACCUGCCGACAACACUGGGAUAGCCUUUCGAAAGAAAGAUUAAUACCGGAUGGCAUAGUUUUUCCGCAUGGGAUAAUUAUUAAAGAAUUUCGGUUGUCGAUGGGGAUGCGUUCCAUUAGGCAGUUGGCGGGGUAACGGCCCACCAAACCAACGAUGGAUAGGGGUUCUGAGAGGAAGGUCCCCCACAUUGGAACUGAGACACGGUCCAAACUCCUACGGGAGGCAGCAGUGAGGAAUAUUGGUCAAUGGACGAGAGUCUGAACCAGCCAAGUAGCGUGAAGGAUGACUGCCCUAUGGGUUGUAAACUUCUUUUAUACGGGAAUAAAGUUAGCCACGUGUGGCUUUUUGUAUGUACCGUAUGAAUAAGGAUCGGCUAACUCCGUGCCAGCAGCCGCGGUAAUACGGAGGAUCCGAGCGUUAUCCGGAUUUAUUGGGUUUAAAGGGAGCGUAGGCGGGUUGUUAAGUCAGUUGUGAAAGUUUGCGGCUCAACCGUAAAAUUGCAGUUGAUACUGGCGACCUUGAGUGCAACAGAGGUAGGCGGAAUUCGUGGUGUAGCGGUGAAAUGCUUAGAUAUCACGAAGAACUCCGAUUGCGAAGGCAGCUUACUGGAUUGUAACUGACGCUGAUGCUCGAAAGUGUGGGUAUCAAACAGGAUUAGAUACCCUGGUAGUCCACACAGUAAACGAUGAAUACUCGCUGUUGGCGAUAUACGGUCAGCGGCCAAGCGAAAGCAUUAAGUAUUCCACCUGGGGAGUACGCCGGCAACGGUGAAACUCAAAGGAAUUGACGGGGGCCCGCACAAGCGGAGGAACAUGUGGUUUAAUUCGAUGAUACGCGAGGAACCUUACCCGGGCUUAAAUUGCAACUGACUGAACCGGAAACGGUUCUUUCUUCGGACAGUUGUGAAGGUGCUGCAUGGUUGUCGUCAGCUCGUGCCGUGAGGUGUCGGCUUAAGUGCCAUAACGAGCGCAACCCUUAUCGAUAGUUACUAGCAGGUCAUGCUGAGGACUCUAUUGAGACUGCCGUCGUAAGAUGUGAGGAAGGUGGGGAUGACGUCAAAUCAGCACGGCCCUUACGUCCGGGGCUACACACGUGUUACAAUGGGGGGUACAGAAGGCAGCUACACGGCGACGUGGUGCUAAUCCCGAAAGCCUCUCUCAGUUCGGAUUGGAGUCUGCAACCCGACUCCAUGAAGCUGGAUUCGCUAGUAAUCGCGCAUCAGCCACGGCGCGGUGAAUACGUUCCCGGGCCUUGUACACACCGCCCGUCAAGCCAUGAAAGCCGGGGGUACCUGAAGUACGUAACCGCGAGGAGCGUCCUAGGGUAAAACUGGUGAUUGGGGC